UAUUGCACAAUGGGCGCAAGCCUGAUGCAGCCAUGCCGCGUGUAUGAAGAAGGCCUUCGGGGUUGUAAAGUACUUUCAGUCGUGAGGAAGGCAUUAACGUUAAUAGCGUUAGUGUUUGACGUUAGCGACAGAAGAAGCACCGGCUAACUCCGUGCCAGCAGCCGCGGUAAUACGGAGGGGUGCGAGCGUUAAUCGGAAUUACUGGGCGUAAAGCGCAUGCAGGUGGUUUGUUAAGUCAGAUGUGAAAGCCCGGGGCUCAACCUCGGAACCGCAUUUGAAACUGGCAGGCUAGAGUACUGUAGAGGGGGGUAGAAUUUCAGGUGUAGCGGUGAAAUGCGUAGAGAUCUGAAGGAAUACCAGUGGCGAAGGCGGCCCCCUGGACAGAUACUGACACUCAGAUGCGAAAGCGUGGGGAGCAAACAGGAUUAGAUACCCUGGUAGUCCACGCCGUAAACGAUGUCUACUUGGAGGUUGUGGCCUUGAGCCGUGGCUUUCGGAGCUAACGCGUUAAGUAGACCGCCUGGGGAGUACGGUCGCAAGAUUAAAACUCAAAUGAAUUGACGGGGGCCCGCACAAGCGGUGGAGCAUGUGGUUUAAUUCGAUGCAACGCGAAGAACCUUACCUACUCUUGACAUCCAGAGAACUUUUCAGA
Molecule: ribosomal RNA, 652 nt
Filed under: Vibrio sp.
Lineage: Bacteria; Pseudomonadati; Pseudomonadota; Gammaproteobacteria; Vibrionales; Vibrionaceae
Description: bacterial SSU rRNA
Rfam family: Bacterial small subunit ribosomal RNA
Source: RNAcentral